This 121-nucleotide microRNA precursor is filed under the name Rosa chinensis. RNAcentral describes it as "sRNA RchiOBHm_Chr5g0011531". It matches the Rfam family "mir-399 microRNA precursor family". From Rfam's summary of the family: mir-399 was identified in both Arabidopsis thaliana and Oryza sativa computationally and was later experimentally verified. mir-399 is thought to target mRNAs coding for a phosphatase transporter. The mature sequence is excised from the 3' arm of the hairpin. The record is from Rfam by way of RNAcentral. Lineage: Eukaryota; Viridiplantae; Streptophyta; Magnoliopsida; Rosales; Rosaceae.
UGAUGAAUAACAGUGCGGUCCUCCUUUGGCAUGGAGAAAUGCAUGCAUGAAUGGAUGCCCUAAUCACAUGUACGACAUGCUUUUCUGCUUUGCCAAAGGAGAAUUGCCCUGCCAUUCCCUC